GAGGGUCACAAGGCCUCCUAUUGCUCUUAACCAACCCGCGUACCUGCCGGAUAUCAUGUCUCUGCCUCGGCGGCGGCCCCAGGGGGGGCCAGCAGCCCGCCUACACGGCGGGCGCCGCCGGCGGCGCACAAACCAUACAACAUUGCAAAACAAAUACAUUACAAACUGUUA
This 171-nucleotide unclassified non-coding RNA is filed under the name uncultured Hypocreales. RNAcentral's name for it is "sequence contains ITS1". The record is from RNAcentral. Lineage: Eukaryota; Fungi; Ascomycota; Sordariomycetes; Hypocreales.